UCAGGAUGAACGCUAGCUACAGGCUUAACACAUGCAAGUCAGGGGCAGCAUGAUCUAGCUGCUAGAAUGAUGGCGACCGGCGCACGGGUGAGUAACGCGUAUCCAACCUUCCCUAUAGUAGAGGAUAGCCCGGCGAAAGUCGGAUUAAUACUCUAUGUUGUUCAAUGCGGACAUCUAAGUGACCAAAGGUUUACCGCUAUAGGAUGGGGAUGCGUCUGAUUAGAUGGUAGGCGGGGUAACGGCCCACCUAGUCGACGAUCAGUAGGGGUUCUGAGAGGAAGGUCCCCCACAUUGGAACUGAGACACGGUCCAAACUCCUACGGGAGGCAGCAGUGAGGAAUAUUGGUCAAGUGGGCGCGAGCCUGAACCAGCCAAGUAGCGUGCCAGGAUGACGGCCCUAUGGGUUGUAAACUGCUUUUAUAUAGGGAUAAAGUGCACUACGUGUAGUGUUUUGUAGGUACUAUAUGAAUAAGGACCGGCUAAUUCCGUGCCAGCAGCGGC
Molecule: ribosomal RNA, 501 nt
Filed under: uncultured bacterium
Lineage: Bacteria
Description: bacterial SSU rRNA
Rfam family: Bacterial small subunit ribosomal RNA
Source: RNAcentral